RNAcentral lists this ribosomal RNA (253 nucleotides) under uncultured bacterium. RNAcentral describes it as "partial 16S ribosomal RNA". It matches the Rfam family "Bacterial small subunit ribosomal RNA", at positions 524 to 776 of the family's 1533-position model. The record is from RNAcentral.
UACGUAGGUGACAAGCGUUGUCCGGAUUUACUGGGCGUAAAGAGCGCGCAGGCGGUCGUUCAAGUCGAGUGUGAAAGCCCCCGGCUCAACUGGGGAGGGUCACUCGAUACUGAUCGACUCGAAGGCAGGAGAGGGAAGUGGAAUUCCCGGUGUAGUGGUGAAAUGCGUAGAGAUCCGGAGGAACACCAGAGGCGAAGGCGGCCUACUGGGCUGCACCUGACGCUGAGCCGCGAAAGCCAGGGGAGCGAACGGG